Molecule: ribosomal RNA, 481 nt
Filed under: uncultured bacterium
Lineage: Bacteria
Description: partial 16S ribosomal RNA
Rfam family: Bacterial small subunit ribosomal RNA
Source: RNAcentral
GAUGAACGCUGGCGGCGUGCUUAACACAUGCAGGUCGAACGAAGCAUUUGCGACAGAUUUUUUCGGAAUGAAGUUGCUUAUGACUGAGUGGCGGACGGGUGAGUAACGCGUGGGUAACCUGCCUUGUACUGGGGGAUAGCAGCUGGAAACGGCUGGUAAUACCGCAUAAGCGCACAAUGUUGCAUGACAUGGUGUGAAAAACUCCGGUGGUAUAAGAUGGACCCGCGUCUGAUUAGCUAGUUGGUGAGAUAACAGCCCACCAAGGCGACGAUCAGUAGCCGACCUGAGAGGGUGACCGGCCACAUUGGGACUGAGACACGGCCCAGACUCCUACGGGAAGCGGCAGUGGGGAAUAUUGCACAAUGGAGGAAACUCUGAUGCAGCGACGCCGCGUGAGUGAAGAAGUAAUUCGUUAUGUAAAGCUCUAUCAGCAGGGAAGAUAGUGACGGUACCUGACUAAGAAGCUCCGGCUAAAUACGUG